GAUGAACGCUAGCUACAGGCUUAACACAUGCAAGUCGAGGGGAAACGAUAUUGGAAGCUUGCUUCUGAUAGGCGUCGACCGGCGCACGGGUGAGUAACGCGUAUCCAACCUGCCCAUCACUUGGGGAUAACCUUGUGAAAGUAAGACUAAUACCCAAUGACGUCUCUAGAAGACAUCUGAAGGAGAUUAAAGAUUUAUCGGUGAUGGAUGGGGAUGCGUCUGAUUAGCUUGUUGGCGGGGUAACGGCCCACCAAGGCGACGAUCAGUAGGGGUUCUGAGAGGAAGGUCCCCCANAUUGGAACUGAGACACGGUCCAAACUCCUACGGGAGCAGCAGUGAGGAAUAUUGGUCAAUGGACGAGAGUCUGAACCAGCCAAGUAGCGUGCAGGAUGACGGCCCUAUGGGUUGUAAACUGCUUUUAUAAGGGAAUAAAGUGAGUCUCGUGAGACUUUUUGCAUGUACCUUAUGAAUAAGGACCGGCUAAUUCCGUGCCAG
Molecule: ribosomal RNA, 495 nt
Filed under: uncultured bacterium
Lineage: Bacteria
Description: bacterial SSU rRNA
Rfam family: Bacterial small subunit ribosomal RNA
Source: RNAcentral